Molecule: ribosomal RNA, 400 nt
Filed under: uncultured bacterium
Lineage: Bacteria
Description: partial 16S ribosomal RNA
Rfam family: Bacterial small subunit ribosomal RNA
Source: RNAcentral
CCUACGGGUGACAGCAGUGGGGGAUAUUGCACAAUGGGGGAAACCCUGAUGCAGCGACGCCGGGUGUGGGAAGACGGUCCUCUGGAUUGUAAACCACUGUCCCCAGGGACGAAGAUGACGGUACCUGGGGAGGAAGCGCCGGCUAACUACGUGCCAGCAGCCGCGGUAAUACGGAGGGAGCGAGCGUGGUCCGGAAUUACUGGGUGUAAAGGGAGCGUAGGCGGGACUGCAAGUUGGGUUUCAUAUCUACCGGCUCAACCGGUAGCCGCACUCAAAACUGCAGUUCUUGAGUGCAGUAGAGGCAGGCUGACUUCCUCGUGUAGCGGUGAAUUGCGUAGAUAUUCGGAGGCACCCCAGUGGCGAAGGCGGCCUGCUGGGCUUUUACUGACGCUGAGGCUCG